RNAcentral lists this ribosomal RNA (539 nucleotides) under Lysiosquilla sulcirostris. RNAcentral's name for it is "partial large subunit ribosomal RNA". It matches the Rfam family "Bacterial large subunit ribosomal RNA", at positions 1809 to 2606 of the family's 2925-position model. Lineage: Eukaryota; Metazoa; Arthropoda; Malacostraca; Stomatopoda; Lysiosquillidae. The record is from RNAcentral.
AAAAACAUGUCCGUAUGAAAAGUUGUAUACGGUCUGGCCUGCCCACUGACAUUAGUUGAAGGGCCGCGGUAUUCUGACCGUGCGAAGGUAGCAUAAUAAUUAGUCUCCUAAUUAGAGGCUGGUAUGAAUGGUCUGACAAGAUGGAACCUGUCUCCAUACAAUAAAUAUAAAUUAAUAUUUAAGUAAAAAAGCUUAAAUAAAAUGAAGGGACGAUAAGACCCUAUAAAGCUUUAUGAUGUUAAUUUUUUAAUGCAAAUUAUAUUAAUAUUAAAGUAUUAUAAAACUAUAUCAUUUUACUGGGGCGGUAAAAGUAUAAAAGAAUAACUGCUUUUGUUGAAAUUAAACAAUAAUAAUUGAAAAAUAAAUUGAUCCAUUAAUAAUGAUCACAAGAACAAGUUACUUUAGGGAUAACAGCGUAAUUUUUCUUGAGAGUUCAUAUCGAAAGAAAAGUUUGCGACCUCGAUGUUGAAUUAAGGAUACCUUAAGGUGCAGCAGUUUUAAAGGUGGAUCUGUUCGAUCUUUAAUUCCUUACGUGAUCU